GGUUAAGUUAGAAAGGGCGCACGGUGGAUGCCUUGACACUAGGAGUCGAUGAAGGACGGGACUAACGCCGAUAUGCUUCGGGGAGCUGUAAGUAAGCUUUGAUCCGAAGAUUUCCGAAUGGGGAAACCCACCAUACGUAAUGGUAUGGUAUCCUUAUCUGAAUACAUAGGGUAAGGAAGACAGACCCAGGGAACUGAAACAUCUAAGUACCUGGAGGAAGAGAAAGCAAAUGCGAUUUCCUGAGUAGCGGCGAGCGAAACGGAACAUAGCCCAAACCAAGAGGCUUGCCUCUUGGGGUUGUAGGACAUUCUAUACGGAGUUACAAAGGAACGAGGUAGACGAAGCGACCUGGAAAGGUCCGUCGUAGAGGGUAACAACCCCGUAGUCGAAACUUCGUUCUCUCUUGAAUGUAUCCUGAGUACGGCGGAACACGUGAAAUUCCGUCGGAAUCUGGGAGGACCAUCUCCCAAGGCUAAAUACUCCCUAGUGAUCGAUAGUGAACCAGUACCGUGAGGGAAAGGUGAAAAGCACCCCGGAAGGGGAGUGAAAGAGAUCCUGAAACCGUGUGCCUACAAAUAGUCAGAGCCCGUUAACGGGUGAUGGCGUGCCUUUUGUAGAAUGAACCGGCGAGUUACGAUCCCGUGCGAGGUUAAGCUGAAGAGGCGGAGCCGCAGCGAAAGCGAGUCUGAAUAGGGCGUUUAGUACGUGGUCGUAGACCCGAAACCAGGUGAUCUACCCAUGUCCAGGGUGAAGUUCAGGUAACACUGAAUGGAGGCCCGAACCCACGCACGUUGAAAAGUGCGGGGAUGAGGUGUGGGUAGCGGAGAAAUUCCAAUCGAACCUGGAGAUAGCUGGUUCUCCCCGAAAUAGCUUUAGGGCUAGCCUUAAGUGUAAGAGUCUUGGAGGUAGAGCACUGAUUGGACUAGGGGUCCUCAUCGGAUUACCGAAUUCAGUCAAACUCCGAAUGCCAAUGACUUAUCCUUAGGAGUCAGACUGCGAGUGAUAAGAUCCGUAGUCAAAGGGAAACAGCCCAGACCGCCAGCUAAGGUCCCAAAGUGUGUAUUAAGUGGAAAAGGAUGUGGAGUUGCUUAGACAACUAGGAUGUUGGCUUAGAAGCAGCCACCAUUUAAAGAGUGCGUAAUAGCUCACUAGUCGAGUGACUCUGCGCCGAAAAUGUACCGGGGCUAAAUACACCACCGAAGCUGCGGAUUGAUACCGAAUGGUAUCAGUGGUAGGGGAGCGUUCUAAGGACAGUGAAGUCAGACCGGAAGGACUGGUGGAGUGCUUAGAAGUGAGAAUGCCGGUAUGAGUAGCGAAAGACGGGUGAGAAUCCCGUCCACCGAAUGCCUAAGGUUUCCUGAGGAAGGCUCGUCCGCUCAGGGUUAGUCAGGACCUAAGCCGAGGCCGACAGGCGUAGGCGAUGGACAACAGGUUGAUAUUCCUGUACCACCUCUUUAUCGUUUGAGCAAUGGAGGGACGCAGAAGGAUAGAAGAAGCGUGCGAUUGGUUGUGCACGUCCAAGCAGUUAGGCUGAUAAGUAGGCAAAUCCGCUUAUCGUGAAGGCUGAGCUGUGAUGGGGAAGCUCCUUAUGGAGCGAAGUCUUUGAUUCCCCGCUGCCAAGAAAAGCUUCUAGCGAGAUAAAAGGUGCCUGUACCGCAAACCGACACAGGUAGGCGAGGAGAGAAUCCUAAGGUGUGCGAGAGAACUCUGGUUAAGGAACUCGGCAAAAUGACCCCGUAACUUCGGGAGAAGGGGUGCUUUCUUAACGGAAAGCCGCAGUGAAUAGGCCCAAGCGACUGUUUAGCAAAAACACAGCUCUCUGCGAAGCCGUAAGGCGAAGUAUAGGGGUGACACCUGCCCGGUGCUGGAAGGUUAAGGAGAGGGGUUAGCGUAAGCGAAGCUCUGAACUGAAGCCCCAGUAAACGGCGGCCGUAACUAUAACGGUCCUAAGGUAGCGAAAUUCCUUGUCGGGUAAGUUCCGACCCGCACGAAAGGUGUAACGAUUUGGGCACUGUCUCAACCAGAGACUCGGUGAAAUUAUAGUACCUGUGAAGAUGCAGGUUACCCGCGACAGGACGGAAAGACCCCGUGGAGCUUUACUGUAGCCUGAUAUUGAAUUUUGGUACAGUUUGUACAGGAUAGGCGGGAGCCUUUGAAACCGGAGCGCUAGCUUCGGUGGAGGCGCUGGUGGGAUACCGCCCUGACUGUAUUGAAAUUCUAACCUACGGGUCUUAUCGACCCGGGAGACAGUGUCAGGUGGGCAGUUUGACUGGGGCGGUCGCCUCCUAAAGUGUAACGGAGGCGCCCAAAGGUUCCCUCAGAAUGGUUGGAAAUCAUUCGUAGAGUGCAAAGGCAUAAGGGAGCUUGACUGCGAGACCUACAAGUCGAGCAGGGACGAAAGUCGGGCUUAGUGAUCCGGUGGUUCCGCAUGGAAGGGCCAUCGCUCAACGGAUAAAAGCUACCCCGGGGAUAACAGGCUUAUCUCCCCAAGAGUCCACAUCGACGGGGAGGUUUGGCACCUCGAUGUCGGCUCAUCGCAUCCUGGGGCUGUAGUCGGUCCCAAGGGUUGGGCUGUUCGCCCAUUAAAGCGGUACGCGAGCUGGGUUCAGAACGUCGUGAGACAGUUCGGUCCCUAUCCGUCGUGGGCGUAGGAAAUUUGAGAGGAGCUGUCCUUAGUACGAGAGGACCGGGAUGGACGCACCGCUGGUGUACCAGUUGUUCUGCCAAGGGCAUAGCUGGGUAGCUAUGUGCGGAAGGGAUAAGUGCUGAAAGCAUCUAAGCAUGAAGCCCCCCUCAAGAUGAGAUUUCCCAUAGCGUAAGCUAGUAAGAUCCCUGAAAGAUGAUCAGGUUGAUAGGUUCGAGGUGGAAGCAUGGUGACAUGUGGAGCUGACGAAUACUAAUAGAUCGAGGACUUAACCAU
RNAcentral lists this ribosomal RNA (2920 nucleotides) under Bacillus pacificus. RNAcentral describes it as "23S ribosomal RNA". It matches the Rfam family "Bacterial large subunit ribosomal RNA". Lineage: Bacteria; Bacillati; Bacillota; Bacilli; Caryophanales; Bacillaceae. The record is from RNAcentral.